This 441-nucleotide ribosomal RNA is filed under the name uncultured Ilumatobacter sp. Its description in RNAcentral is "partial 16S ribosomal RNA". The record is from RNAcentral. Lineage: Bacteria; Bacillati; Actinomycetota; Acidimicrobiia; Acidimicrobiales; Ilumatobacteraceae.
GACUACUGGGGUAUCUAAUCCUGUUUGCUACCCACGCUUUCGCUCCUCAGCGUCAGUAUCGGCCCAGAGCGGCGCCUUCGCCACCGGUGUUCCUCCUAAUAUCUGCGCAUUUCACCGCUACACUAGGAAUUCCCCGCUCCCCUACCGAACUCUAGUCACAGCAGUAUCGGAUGCAGGCUUUGGGUUAAGCCCAAAGUUUUCACACCCGACUUACCGAACCGCCUACGAGCUCUUUACGCCCAAUAAAUCCGGACAACGCUUGGUGCCUACGUGUCACCGCGGCUGCUGGCACGUAGUUGGCCGCACCUUCUUCUGCAAGUACCGUCAUUUUCGUUCCUGCUGAAAGCGGUUUACAACCCGAGGGCCUUCUUCCCGCACGCGGCGUUGCUGCGUCAGGCUUUCGCCCAUUGCGCAAGAUUCCCCACUGCAGCCCCCCGUAGG